This 346-nucleotide unclassified non-coding RNA is filed under the name soil metagenome. RNAcentral's name for it is "partial contains 5.8S ribosomal RNA, internal transcribed spacer 2, and large subunit ribosomal RNA". The stretch from base 1 to 120 matches the Rfam family "5.8S ribosomal RNA", at positions 35 to 154 of the family's 154-position model. The record is from RNAcentral.
GAUGAAGAACGCAGCGAAAUGCGAUAAUUAAUGUGAAUUGCAGAAUUUAGUGAAUCAUCGAGUCUUUGAACGCACAUUGCGCCCCCUGGUAUUCCGGGGGGCAUGCCUGUCCGAGCGUCAUUGCUGCCCUCAAGCACGGCUUGUGUGUUGGGCCCCGUCCUCCGAUCCCGGGGGACGGGCCCGAAAGGCAGCGGCGGCACCGCGUCCGGUCCUCGAGCGUAUGGGGCUUUGUCACCCGCUCUGUAGGCCCGGCCGGCGCUUGCCGAUCAACCCAAAUUUUUAUCCAGGUUGACCUCGGAUCAGGUAGGGAUACCCGCUGAACUUAAGCAUAUCAAUAAGCGGAGGA